RNAcentral lists this RNase P RNA (388 nucleotides) under Corynebacterium camporealensis. RNAcentral's name for it is "Bacterial RNase P class A". It matches the Rfam family "Bacterial RNase P class A". Rfam says of the family: Ribonuclease P (RNase P) is a ubiquitous endoribonuclease, found in archaea, bacteria and eukarya as well as chloroplasts and mitochondria. Its best characterised activity is the generation of mature 5'-ends of tRNAs by cleaving the 5'-leader elements of precursor-tRNAs. Cellular RNase Ps are ribonucleoproteins. The record is from Rfam by way of RNAcentral. Lineage: Bacteria; Bacillati; Actinomycetota; Actinomycetes; Mycobacteriales; Corynebacteriaceae.
UGAGCAGGCCGGGUGAACGCGGCUAACGAACCAGCACCUUUUUGUGGUGCUAGGCGAAGGCCGAGGAAAGUCCGGACUCCACAGAGCACGGUGGUUGCUAACGGCAACCCGGGGUGACCCGCGGGCAAGUGCAACAGAAAGUAGACCGCCUCAGUUUUCUGGGGUAAGGGUGAAACGGUGCGUUAAGAGCGCACCAGCGUCGUCAGUGAUGGCGGCGGCUGGGUAAACCCCACCGGGAGCAAGGCAUCAUGGCCCGCGCGUGCGCGGGCUUGAUCAGGCGGGCUGCUCGUCCAAGCCUGAAGGUAGCUGCUUGAGGCCGAUUGGCAACAGUCGGUCCAGAUGGAUGUUCAUCCUUCGACAGAAUCCGGCUUAUAGGCCAGCUCAUUCG